ACGUACGCUGGCGGCACGCCUAACACAUGCAAGUCGAACGAAGUAGCAAUACUUAGUGGCAGACGGGUGAGUAACAUGUAGGUAUCUGCCCUUUGGCCUGGAAUAACACGAGGAAACUUGUGCUAAUACCGGAUAAGUCUUUACAGAGAAAGCUUUAUGCACCAUUGGAUGAGCCUGCACUUGAUUAGUUUGUUGGUGGGGUAAUGGCCUACCAAGACUGUGAUCAAUAGCUGAUUUGAGAGGAUGAUCAGCCACAUUGGGACUGAGACACGGCCCAAACUCCUACGGGAGGCAGCAGUGGGGAAUCUUGCACAAUGGAGGAAACUCUGAUGCAGCGAUGCCGCGUGAGUGAAGAAGGCCCUUGGGUUGUAAAGCUCUUUCGUCGGGGAAGAAAAUGACUGUACCCGAAUAAGAAGGUCCGGCUAACUUCGUGCCAGCAGCCGCGGUAAUACGAAGGGACCUAGCGUAGUUCGGAAUUACUGGGCUUAAAGAGUUCGUAGGUGGUUGAAAAAGUUAGUGGUGAAAUCCCAGAGCUUAACUCUGGAACUGCCAUUAAAACUUUUUAGCUAGAGUAUGAUAGAGGAAAGCAGAAUUUCUAGUGUAGAGGUGAAAUUCGUAGAUAUUAGAAAGAAUACCAAUUGCGAAGGCAGCUUUCUGGAUCAUUACUGACACUGAGGAACGAAAGCAUGGGUAGCGAAGAGGAUUAGAUACCCUCGUAGUCCAUGCCGUAAACGAUGUGUGUUAGACGUUGGAAAUUUAUUUUCAGUGUCGCAGGGAAACCGAUAAACACACCGCCUGGGGAGUACGACCGCAAGGUUAAAACUCAAAUGAAUUGACGGGGACCCGCACAAGUAGUGGAGCAUGUGGUUUAAUUCGAAGAUACGCGCAGAACCUUACCAACACUUGACAUGUUCGUCGCGACUCUAAGAGAUUAGAGUUUUCGGUUCGGCCGGACGAAACACAGGUGCUGCAUGGCUGUCGUCAGCUCGUGUCGUGAGAUGUUGGGUUAAGUCCCGCAACGAGCGCAACCCUCACUUUUAGUUGCCAUCAUUAAGUUGGGCACUCUGAAAGAACUGCCAGUGAUAAGCUGGAGGAAGGUGGGGAUGACGUCAAGUCCUCAUGGCCCUUACGUGUUGGGCUACACACGUGCUACAAUGGUAUCUACAACAGGAAGCAAGACUGCGAAGUUAAGCAAAUCCCUAAAAGAUACCUCAGUUCGGAUUGCACUCUGCAACUCGAGUGCAUGAAGCUGGAAUUACUAGUAAUCGUGGAUCAGCGUGCCACGGUGAAUGCGUUCCCGGGUCUUGUACUCACCGCC
Molecule: ribosomal RNA, 1318 nt
Filed under: uncultured Alphaproteobacteria bacterium
Lineage: Bacteria; Pseudomonadati; Pseudomonadota; Alphaproteobacteria
Description: bacterial SSU rRNA
Rfam family: Bacterial small subunit ribosomal RNA
Source: RNAcentral